UCGGUGAAACGUUUUAACAGCUGCGGUAUUUUAACUGUACUAAGGUAGCAUAAUAAUUUGCCUUAUAAUUUGAGGCUAGAAUGAAUGGUUUGACGAAGGUUAAUCUGUCUCCACUUUAUUUUUUAGAAAUUAAUUUUCAUAGUGAAAAAGCUUGAAUUUUUUAAGGGGACGAGAAGACCCUACUGAGCUUAUAAUUUUAUUAAAACAUAUAUUCAUAUAUAUUGUGUUAUAUAAAUUUUAAUUGGGGUGAUUAAGGAAUAAUAUUAUUAUUAUAUAUGUAACUUCCUUAGAAAUAUUAUAUUGUUGAAUAAAGUAACCGAUAAAUUAAUAUAAUUAUUAUGUAUUGCUUAUAAUAUAGUUACCAUAGGGAUAACAGCGUAAUUUACUUAGAGAGUUCUUAUUGAAAAGUAAGAUUGCGACCUCGAUGUUGGAUUAAAGUAACCUUAAGGUGCAGAAGCUUUAUGGGGUAAAUCUGUUCGAUUUU
Molecule: ribosomal RNA, 484 nt
Filed under: Uroteuthis sp. 3N JATM-2019
Lineage: Eukaryota; Metazoa; Mollusca; Cephalopoda; Myopsida; Loliginidae
Description: partial 16S ribosomal RNA
Rfam family: Bacterial large subunit ribosomal RNA
Source: RNAcentral